RNAcentral lists this RNase P RNA (355 nucleotides) under unidentified eubacterium clone EM14b-9. Its description in RNAcentral is "partial ribonuclease P RNA". It matches the Rfam family "Bacterial RNase P class A", at positions 43 to 351 of the family's 367-position model. From Rfam's summary of the family: Ribonuclease P (RNase P) is a ubiquitous endoribonuclease, found in archaea, bacteria and eukarya as well as chloroplasts and mitochondria. Its best characterised activity is the generation of mature 5'-ends of tRNAs by cleaving the 5'-leader elements of precursor-tRNAs. The record is from RNAcentral.
GAGGAAAGUCCGGGCUCAGAGGGUGCGCGUAUCCCGUUAAGGCUGAUGAAGCCGGAGCGGGGGCGUGAGAGCGCCGGAAAGUGCCACAGAAAACAUACCGCCUUAUGUGUCUUCACACAUAAGGUAAGGGUGAAAAGGUGCGGUAAGAGCGCACCCAGGAAAGGAGAAGGUUUAAGGGAAAAAACGCCCUUGCCGAAUCCUUUCCUGCGGUAAACCCAUACGCGAGCAAGGCCAAGCAGAGGGGAAUUGCGGGAGUUUUCCAAAUCUGACUCCCGCAUGCGGGUUGCACCCUUCCCGCUAACACCCUCGGGUAGGCCGCUUAGAGUAAUGACCCCUUAACACAGAACCCGGCUUA